UGGGGAAUAUUGGACAAUGGGCGCAAGCCUGAUCCAGCAAUGCCGCGUGUGUGAAGAAGGCCUGCGGGUUGUAAAGCACUUUCAGUGGGGAAGAACGGAUACGGGCCAAUACCCCGCAUCACUGACGUUACCCACAGAAGAAGCACCGGCUAACUCCGUGCCAGCAGCCGCGGUAAUACGGAGGGUGCAAGCGUUAAUCGGAAUCACUGGGCGUAAAGCGCACGUAGGCGGCCCGCUAAGUCAGAUGUGA
RNAcentral lists this ribosomal RNA (250 nucleotides) under uncultured bacterium. RNAcentral describes it as "partial 16S ribosomal RNA". It matches the Rfam family "Bacterial small subunit ribosomal RNA", at positions 355 to 597 of the family's 1533-position model. The record is from RNAcentral.